RNAcentral lists this ribosomal RNA (495 nucleotides) under uncultured bacterium. Its description in RNAcentral is "partial 16S ribosomal RNA". It matches the Rfam family "Bacterial small subunit ribosomal RNA", at positions 28 to 507 of the family's 1533-position model. The record is from RNAcentral.
GACGAACGCUGGCGGCGUGCCUAAUACAUGCAAGUAGAACGCUGAAGGAGGAGCUUGCUUCUCUGGAUGAGUUGCGAACGGGUGAGUAACGCGUAGGUAACCUGCCUGGUAGCGGGGGAUAACUAUUGGAAACGAUAGCUAAUACCGCAUAAGAGUAGAUGUUGCAUGACAUUUGCUUAAAAGGUGCAAUUGCAUCACUACCAGAUGGACCUGCGUUGUAUUAGCUAGUUUGUGGGGUAACGGCUCACCAAGGCGACGAUACAUAGCCGACCUGAGAGGGUGAUCGGCCACACUGGGACUGAGACACGGCCCAGACUCCUACGGGAGGCAGCAGUAGGGAAUCUUCGGCAAUGGACGGAAGUCUGACCGAGCAACGCCGCGUGAGUGAAGAAGGUUUUCGGAUCGUAAAGCUCUGUUGUAAGGGAAGAACGAGUGUGAGAGUGGAAAGUUCACACUGUGACGGUAGCUUACCAGAAAGGGACGGCUAACUACGUG